GACGAACCGUGCGAACGUUAUUCGGAAUCACUGGGCUUAAAGCGCGUGUAGGCGGAACGGCACGUCGGUCGCUGAAAGCCCCCGGCUCAACCGGGGAACGGGCGCCGAUACGACCGUUCUCGAGGGACGUAGGGGGACCUGGAACUUCCGGUGGAGCGGUGAAAUGCGUUGAGAUCGGAAGGAACGCCCGUGGCGAAAGCGAGGUCCUGGACGUUUUCUGACGCUGAGACGCGAAAGCCAGGGGAGCGAACGGG
Molecule: ribosomal RNA, 254 nt
Filed under: uncultured bacterium
Lineage: Bacteria
Description: partial 16S ribosomal RNA
Rfam family: Bacterial small subunit ribosomal RNA
Source: RNAcentral